This 372-nucleotide ribosomal RNA is filed under the name uncultured bacterium. RNAcentral's name for it is "bacterial SSU rRNA". It matches the Rfam family "Bacterial small subunit ribosomal RNA", at positions 524 to 898 of the family's 1533-position model. The record is from RNAcentral.
UACGAAGGGUGCAAGCGUUAUCCGGAUUCAUUGGGUUUAAAGGGUGCGUAGGCGGAGUGGUAAGUCAGUGGUGAAAUCUUGCGGCUUAACCGUAAAAUUGCCAUUGAUACUGCCAUUCUUGAGUAGGCUCGACGUGGGCGGAAUGUGCCGUGUAGCGGUGAAAUGCUUAGAUAUGGCACAGAACACCGAUAGUGAAGACAGCUCACGAGGGCCAAACUGACGCUGAGGCACGAAAGCGUGGGGAUCGAACAGGAUUAGAUACCCUGGUAGUCCACGCCGUAAACGAUGAUCACUCGUUAUUGGCGAUAUACGGUCAGUAACCUAGCGAAAGCGUUAAGUGAUCCACCUGGGGAGUACGAUCGCAAGAUUGAA